This 214-nucleotide ribosomal RNA is filed under the name uncultured bacterium. RNAcentral's name for it is "partial 16S ribosomal RNA". It matches the Rfam family "Bacterial small subunit ribosomal RNA", at positions 1287 to 1500 of the family's 1533-position model. The record is from RNAcentral.
CCCAGUUCGGACUGUAGUCUGCAACCCGACUACACGAAGCCGGAAUCGCUAGUAAUCGCGGAUCAGAAUGCCGCGGUGAAUACGUUCCCGGGUCUUGUACACACCGCCCGUCACACCAUGGGAGUCGGAAAUGCCCGAAGUCAGUGACCCAACCGGAAGGAAGGAGCUGCCGAAGGUGGAGCCGGUAACUGGGGUGAAGUCGUAACAAGGUAGC